CGGCUCUCGGGGAGGCUGCUCAGACCGCCGAGUCCACAGCAGCUACAACCGUGGUGUUCUUGAUUUUAUUCUGCAGAGUGAGCUCUCCACGUUUGCUUUCUGGAGGACCCAGGUGACCGCUCACCUCCCCUUCCUCCUGGAGCCCUGAAGUCGGAGGCCCUGAGCCAUGGACGGUAUCUGAGGAUCGGUUUAGCGUAUCUGGCCGGAGAAAUUGGCAACAUUUGCUACGAAUAAAACCCAAGCGUUUCCAGCAGCCAUUUUGAAUUAAGUUUCCCACCCGACAAGCCCUCGUCCCCUCCACUGCACAUCCAGGAUCCGGUGGAGGAGAAAGGCGCCGGGCGGAGAGUUGGGGAGGGCUGGUUCCUGCGGGUUCCUCCUAGGCGGCCGCGCGAAGCCCAGGCUCGGGGGAUCUCGGUGGCAGGCGCUCAGCUAACUUGGGGAAAGGACGUCCAUGGCCGUGGGGCCGACUGUCAACGGGCUGCACCUAGGGAUCCCAACCCCAAGGCCCUCGGAGAGCCGGGAGGCUCCUCCUCAGCUCCACGCACAUUCCCCUCCCUUCGCUGAUAGCCCCCACCGCCCCCCAAAGAAAGUUCCUUCAAAUGUUCCUGCAGUAGAGCCUUUCAUUUUGUCUCUGCGAAGUGGCAAAGCAGCUAGUAUUGCGAGGGGCCUAGAUGUCGCUUGUCUCAGCCCAUAAAAAAGAAAAAAAAAA
This is a long non-coding RNA of Homo sapiens (human), 709 nucleotides long. RefSeq annotates it as MEIS1 antisense RNA 2. The transcript has 2 exons. The record is from RefSeq and is marked validated. Lineage: Eukaryota; Metazoa; Chordata; Mammalia; Primates; Hominidae.